GCAUAUCAAUAAGCGGAGGAAAAGAAACCAACAGGGAUUGCCCCAGUAACGGCGAGUGAAGCGGCAAAAGCUCAAAUUUGAAAUCCUGCGGGAAUUGUAAUUUGAAGGUUUCGUGGUCUGAGUCGGCCGCGCCCAAGUCCAUUGGAACAUGGCGCCUGGGAGGGUGAGAGCCCCGUCCGGCGCACGCCGACUCUUUGCACCGCGGCUCCGACGAGUCGAGUUGUUUGGGAAUGCAGCUCUAAGUGGGUGGUAAAUUCCAUCUAAAGCUAAAUAUUGGCGAGAGACCGAUAGCGAACAAGUACAGUGAUGGAAAGAUGAAAAGCACUUUGAAAAGAGAGUGAAACAGCACGUGAAAUUGUUGAAAGGGAAGGGCUUGCAAGCAGACACGGUUUUACCGGGCCAGCGUCGAAAAGGGGGGAGGAACAAGAACUCGAGAAUGUGGCGCGCACCUUCGGGUGCGCGUGUUAUAGCUCGUGUUGACGCCUCCAUCCUUUUUCGAGGCCUGCGAUUCUAGGACGCUGGCGUAAUGGUUGCAAGCCGCCCGUCUUGAAACACGGACCAAGGAGUCUAACGUCUAUGCGAGUGUUUGGGUGCAAAACCCCAGCGCGGAAUGAAAGUAAGAGGUUGGAGCCGCAAGGCGCACAAUCGACCGACCCUGAAGUGCUCGGACGGGUUUGAGUAGGAGCAUAGCUGUUGGGACCCGAAAGAUGGUGAACUAUGCCUGGAUAGGGUGAAGCCAGAGGAAACUCUGGUGGAGGCUCGCAGCGGUUCUGACGUGCAAAUCGAUCGUCGAAUCUGGGUAUAGGGGCGAAAGACUAAUCGAACCAUCUAGUAGCUGGUUCCUGCCGAAGUUCCC
This 856-nucleotide ribosomal RNA is filed under the name Clavispora lusitaniae. RNAcentral's name for it is "LSU rRNA". It matches the Rfam family "Eukaryotic large subunit ribosomal RNA", at positions 38 to 971 of the family's 3401-position model. Lineage: Eukaryota; Fungi; Ascomycota; Pichiomycetes; Serinales; Metschnikowiaceae. The record is from RNAcentral.